RNAcentral lists this ribosomal RNA (396 nucleotides) under uncultured bacterium. RNAcentral's name for it is "partial 16S ribosomal RNA". It matches the Rfam family "Bacterial small subunit ribosomal RNA", at positions 523 to 918 of the family's 1533-position model. The record is from RNAcentral.
AUACGUAGGUGACAAGCGUUAUCCGGAUUUACUGGGCGUAAAGGGCGUGUAGGCGGUCUUGCAAGUCUGAAGUGAAAGCUCGGGGCUCAACCCCGGAACUGCUUUGGAAACUGUUUUACUGGAGUGCAGGAGAGGUAAGCGGAAUUCCUAGUGUAGCGGUGAAAUGCGUAGAUAUUAGGAGGAACACCAGAGGCGAAGGCGGCUUACUGGACUGUAACUGACGUUGAGGCUCGAAGGCGUGGGGAGCAAACAGGAUUAGAUACCCUGGUAGUCCACGCGGUAAACGAUGAUCACUAGGUGUCGGCGGCCAUAGGCGGUCGGUGCCGCAGCAAACGCAAUAAGUGAUCCACCUGGGGAGUACGUUCGCAAGAAUGAAACUCAAAUGAAUUGACGGGG